Molecule: long non-coding RNA, 1722 nt
Organism: Anser brachyrhynchus (Pink-footed goose)
Lineage: Eukaryota; Metazoa; Chordata; Aves; Anseriformes; Anatidae
Source: Ensembl
GCUUAAUUUAGCAGACUCACAUGUUUUUCACUCAACGGCUGCCACAAUAUUUGUACAUCCCGUUGGUAAAUAGAGGAAUUACACGGUAAUCUCUCAGAUAUCGCUUGCCAACAUUUCCUAAAUUGUGAUAAACUGCUAAAAUUAUAUUUUCUGUAGAACAUCUUAUAGGGAGCUCAUCACAGAGUGCCUGCGCGUGUUUGGUUACGCAGAAAUACCACCCCAAGGAUGCCAUUUCAUGGAAUAAGUGGUUUAUUGAGCUCCAGCACUAGGGAAACCUGGUUUAGUGUGGCUUUGUGCCUUGCAGCUGAUUAAUGUGGUUGUCUAACAAAUGCUCCUGGAGUGGAGGUCUUCAGGGCCUCUCUUGUGGGUCGAUUCUCUCGCGUCUGAAGAAGGAUUGAGCUGAAAGGGCAGCCCUUUUCCCUAGCUAAUAAUUCUUUUAUCCCACACCUCCUCGCCUGGUUCCAUAGACCUGUGGCAAUGCAGUAUUUCUGCAUCUUCUAACAGGGAGAAGGGAGAAAGAGCACCCCGAGGGAUGGACCCGGAUAUGGAUGGGGUGCAUACUAAGCCAGGCUGGAGUAGUCCUGGAAAAAUGACCAUAUUGAUCUCAUUCCACUACUUUUCAUGGCUGAUUUUUCUUGAAAUAAAAUUUUAAUGAUUUAUUGAUGAAAUUAAACCUGAUCCUUUUGUCAAUAGCCGUCACUUCCCUCUGCCUGAGUCCAGCAACCUCACGCCCCCCCCAUCCCUCCAUGCUCUUCCCUGCCACAUUUGCCUUUGGGGAAUGCAAAGGGAGGGAAGGACAACAAAUAAACAGUUUUGUAAUUUUCCAGUUACCCACGGUUUACAUCACGUCUCCUCCCUCCACACCUACUUCUUGUUUUCGUGUCCAUGUGUGCAUUAUGUGGGUUUGAGGCCGCACCGCUGUGUGUCACGGCUGGCCCUGGUGAAGCCAAACCUACCUUGGAAACUGGGAAUGACCACAAGUCACAAUUUUUCUCACACCCCCAAGGUCCUCUGUGCCGUGGCCAGCUUUGCUCAGCCCUGCCUGCCUCAGUUUCCCCACCAGACCAUGCAGCAGCCUCCCUGCUUGAGCGUGAUGAUGGGGAUCGGAGGGGGUUUGUGUCCAGCACAGGGGAGAAAAUGGGCCAAAUCUGGGCUCUUACCAGGAGCAACAGGACCCCAGUAAUCAGUGCGGACUCAGCGUGUCCCCCGUCACCCCCAUCCACACUUGUGGCCAUCAGCUCCCCGUGCCCAAUGCACCACGGCACCACCUCCCGCAGCCCUUGCCCGUGGCUGUCACCACCUCCGUUCACACUGGAGGACGUGCAAAGCCUUCACGAUGACUUCAACAAGAAAGCGCCAACACCUUCAGCUCUCCGUCCGCCCCACUCAGCCUUGCUGGGUGGGAGAAGUGCCCCAGGAGCAGCAAGGUCUCACCCGAGACACACCACGGGCUCCAGAGCAGGGGAAACCUGGAGCCAAGCACAGCUGAAGAUAUUUCGGGCCUCACGUCUGGGAGAAAUGGUCUGGAGCCAAGCCCCGAGCCCUGCUGACGAGAAAGGAUCAGACAAAAGGCAAAGAGCAGGAGUCCAAAUCACAUUAGUCCGGAGAGCAGAGAGACAAAUGUCUCUUGAGGACACGCUGCGGUUGGAUGUCAGACUGCACGCAGGUGAUUUUUGGCUGACUCCUGCUGCACACCAGCAGCUUUCCAUGGAACGACGUUGA